GUCGGUUUGGCCGAGUGGUUAAGGCGACAGACUAGAAUGGCGUGCUUAGCGUCAAAGUCAUCUGUUGGAGUUUCUCCGCACAGGUUCAAAUCCUGUAGCCGACG
RNAcentral lists this transfer RNA (104 nucleotides) under Coemansia sp. RSA 2531. Its description in RNAcentral is "tRNA-Ser". It matches the Rfam family "tRNA". Rfam says of the family: Transfer RNA (tRNA) molecules are approximately 80 nucleotides in length. Their secondary structure includes four short double-helical elements and three loops (D, anti-codon, and T loops). Further hydrogen bonds mediate the characteristic L-shaped molecular structure. tRNAs have two regions of fundamental functional importance: the anti-codon, which is responsible for specific mRNA codon recognition, and the 3' end, to which the tRNAs corresponding amino acid is attached (by aminoacyl-tRNA synthetases). tRNAs cope with the degeneracy of the genetic code in two manners: having more than one tRNA (with a specific anti-codon) for a particular amino acid; and 'wobble' base-pairing, i.e. permitting non-standard base-pairing at the 3rd anti-codon position. The record is from RNAcentral. Lineage: Eukaryota; Fungi; Kickxellomycota; Kickxellomycetes; Kickxellales; Kickxellaceae. RNAcentral also lists the same sequence under 12 other names.